GAAAUGCGCAGAUAUCAGGAGGAACACCGGUGGCGAAGGCGGAUCUCUGGGCCGAUACUGACGCUGAGGAGCGAAAGCGUGGGGAGCGAACAGGAUUAGAUACCCUGGUAGUCCACGCCGUAAACGGUGGGCACUAGGUGUGGGCAACAUUCCACGUUGUCCGUGCCGCAGCUAACGCAUUAAGUGCCCCGCCUGGGGAGUACGGCCGCAAGGCUAAAACUCAAAGGAAUUGACGGGGGCCCGCACAAGCGGCGGAGCAGUGUGGCUUAAGUUCGACGCAACGCGAAGAACCUUACCAAGGCUUGACAUACACCGGAAAACCCUGGAGACAGGGUCCCCCUUGUGGUCGGUGUACAGGUGGUGCAUGGCUGUCGUCAGCUCGUGUCGUGAGAU
This 393-nucleotide non-coding RNA is filed under the name Streptomyces afghaniensis 772. Its description in RNAcentral is "Bacterial small subunit ribosomal RNA". It matches the Rfam family "Bacterial small subunit ribosomal RNA", at positions 683 to 1073 of the family's 1533-position model. The record is from Rfam by way of RNAcentral. Lineage: Bacteria; Bacillati; Actinomycetota; Actinomycetes; Kitasatosporales; Streptomycetaceae.